Molecule: ribosomal RNA, 486 nt
Filed under: uncultured bacterium
Lineage: Bacteria
Description: partial 16S ribosomal RNA
Rfam family: Bacterial small subunit ribosomal RNA
Source: RNAcentral
GACGAACGCUGGCGGCGUGCUUAACACAUGCAAGUCGAACGGAAAGGCUCUUUAUUGGUGUGGGUGCUCGAGUGUCGAACGGUUGAUUACCACCUGGGUAAUCUCCCCUGUACUUCGGGCUACGCUUGGGAGACUGGGUCUAAUACCGGAUAGGACCUUGCUCUAAUGUCCCAUGGUGGACAGAUUAUUGUUUUGGUGCAGGAUGCGCUCGCGGCCUAUCAGCGUGCUGGUGGGGUAAUGGACUACGAAGGCGUCGACGGGUAGCCGGCCUGAGAGGCUGGACGGGCACAGUGGGACUGAGAGACGGCCCAGACUCCGACGGGAGGCAGCAGAGGGGAAGAUAGGACAAUGGGCGGAAGCCUGAUGCAGCGGCGACGCGUGGGGGAUGACGGGCUUCGGGUGGUAAACUGCUUUCGGGAGGGACGAAGCCACGCUUUUUGGGUGUGGUGACGGUACCUUUGUGAAGAAGCACCGGCUAACUACGUG